Molecule: ribosomal RNA, 253 nt
Filed under: uncultured bacterium
Lineage: Bacteria
Description: partial 16S ribosomal RNA
Rfam family: Bacterial small subunit ribosomal RNA
Source: RNAcentral
CACGGGGGGAGCAAGCGUUGUUCGGAUUUACUGGGCGUAAAGCGCACGUAGGCGGAUCGUUAAGUCGGGGGUGAAAUCCUGGAGCUCAACUCCAGAACUGCCUUCGAUACUGGCGAUCUUGAGUCCGGAAGAGGUGAGUGGAACUCCUAGUGUAGAGGUGGAAUUCGUAGAUAUUAGGAAGAACACCAGUGGCGAAGGCGGCUCACUGGUCCGGUACUGACGCUGAGGCGCGAAAGCGUGGGGAGCAAACAGG